RNAcentral lists this ribosomal RNA (109 nucleotides) under Silene latifolia subsp. alba (white campion). Lineage: Eukaryota; Viridiplantae; Streptophyta; Magnoliopsida; Caryophyllales; Caryophyllaceae. The record is from RNAcentral.
CCAUCAGAACUCCGCAGUUAAGCGUGCUUGGGCGAGAGUAGUACUAGGAUGGGUGACCUCCUGGGAAGGCCUCGUGUUGCACCCCGAUCAUACCAGCAUUAAUGCACCG